Molecule: non-coding RNA, 437 nt
Organism: Equus caballus (horse)
Lineage: Eukaryota; Metazoa; Chordata; Mammalia; Perissodactyla; Equidae
Source: RefSeq, a predicted model, not a curated record
GCCUGCAUCUUGAUCUUGGACUUCCCAGACUCCAGAACUCUGGAAAUGUUCAGGCAAGAACAAAGAGCUGAACCCCAAAGGAAGGAGAAGGUCUGAGGCAUGGUGGGCUACGCUGGGGUCCUAGGAAAACUGAGAGGUUGGUUUCCUGGACAAGAUACCUGGACAUUCUGGCCCAACAGCAGCCCCAAGAGUAAACACCUGAGCUCCCAUAGAACGCUUAGCGCUCUCUGAAAUGCCUGGGGCUGAAGCAGUGACCGGACUGAUCGAAGAAAGAGGAUGAAACUCAAGAUUUUUUAUACUGUAGACCUUGAGGUCUCAAGGUAGGGCUGUGUCCCUGCCUUCUAUCUGCUGCACAGCUGGGAAUUUUCCUAGCAUCUGGGGGCUGCUCAAGGAAUGUUUCUUGAAUGAAUCAAUAAAUAAAUGGUUGUCUUUCCAUA